GAGGCUAUUCGUUGCCAAAAAUCCAGCCUUUGAAACUUGACAAUGCAUACUUCGGUUCUACUAAACAGAUUAGUAAAAAUCUAAUUGUCGAUCCGAGAGUUACAUACUGCACUGGUAUUAAGCAUUUUGAUUAUCUCGAUUUGAUAAAAUGAAAGCUGUUAACAUGCAACUUAGAUAAAUUGCAAACUGUAUUUAUAAAUGUAUAAUUUCAAAUUUGCGACAUGUAGAAAUGUAAACGAUAGAACAUACACAAUACGUUUAAUGCUGUGCAUCAUGACGUUGAGAAUGUAACUGCAUCAACUUGACACACUCAGGUUUACAACACCACACUUUCCUUUUACAUUCUAACGCGAUUAACAUUUGUAAACGAUUUUGCAACUUCCAUAUAUGGAAUUAUCACGGAAAUAGACGAAAAUUAAUAGGCGGAGCCAAUUUCACGAAAGCAGAAUAUAAAGAGAGGUAACUCUUGCUGGUACAAAAAAUAUUUCAAAUUAUAUAGAAACUGUUACAUCAAUCUUGACUUUGAACAUCCUCUGAUUUUGUUAAAACGUAUUCUAGUACAGGAUAUUCAAGUAAUGCAAAAUUGGUUAAGAUAUAAUGUAAAAAUGUAACAACGUAUAUACUGAUAAUGAGCAUAUUAAUAUGCAAAAACUAAAGUUGGUGAAAUAACAUAAGGAAAUGUUUCCCAUAUAUAAUGACACACACCACUAUCCAUUGAUAUCAAUGAUAGGGUUUUGUGAGCCACGGCAAUACUCUUAAGCAUGUGUUUUUUUUUUUACCUUCAGCAAAUAGUACUAGAAUGCGAUACAUGGAAGGCACUUUUGGCAACACGAAUAAAGAGAACUGAACAAUAAGUCUGUGCCUUCUUUCUUUAAAGGACUAUGUUGGGUUGUAGAAAAUUUUUUGACCAAGUGUAUAACCACGAAACAAUGCAAAGUUUACUAUCGAUAAUUCCGUUGUAUAACCAAAACUUGUGAAUUUGUCCCAUUUUAAUGUUGAAAUAAAUAUUCAGUGUAUCCUGGCAACUCUGUUUACCUCCAUUGGGAGGUAUUUUGAGUCAUAGGAUGUGAUUUAGCCUUUUAUUGUUAAAUAUAUGUAAGCUGGCGUAGGUUUAGGUCUUUUAUGCAUUGUGCUGACUCAAUAGCACCUCUAAAAUAUGUGUUUACAUGCUGUCAUUAGCUGUUACCUAGAUUUGCUGUCUAGAUUUGCUGUCUAUAUGAUCAAAAACAGAGAACUACUUUUAUGUAUAUGAAAUACUACACAGAAUAUUUAUUAAGUUUUGUAAGUGAUGGCUUUCUAAGAGAUAAAAUAAACAAGGUAUACAUAAAUUGAUAAUCAACAUACAUACAUUUGGA
This is a long non-coding RNA of Ruditapes philippinarum (Manila clam), 1355 nucleotides long. RefSeq lists it as uncharacterized. The record is from RefSeq and is a predicted model, not a curated record. The transcript has 2 exons. Lineage: Eukaryota; Metazoa; Mollusca; Bivalvia; Venerida; Veneridae.